AUUGAACCUACAUGUGUAGGAUAGGUGGGAGGCUUUGAAGGCGUGACGCCAGUUGCGCUGGAGCCGUCCUUGAAAUACCACCCUUGUAUGUUUGAUGUUCUAACGCAGGGCCCUGAAUCGGGUUCGCGGACAGUGCCUGGUGGGUAGUUUGACUGGGGCGGUCUCCUCCCAAAGAGUAACGGAGGAGCACGAAGGUUGGCUAAUCCUGGUCGGACAUCAGGAGGUUAGUGCAAUGGCAUAAGCCA
This 245-nucleotide ribosomal RNA is filed under the name Aeromonas caviae. RNAcentral describes it as "partial 23S ribosomal RNA". It matches the Rfam family "Bacterial large subunit ribosomal RNA", at positions 2123 to 2366 of the family's 2925-position model. Lineage: Bacteria; Pseudomonadati; Pseudomonadota; Gammaproteobacteria; Aeromonadales; Aeromonadaceae. The record is from RNAcentral.